UACGAGGGGGGCAAGCGUUGUUCGGAAUUAUUGGGCGUAAAGGGCGCGUAGGCGGCGCCACAAGUCACUUGUGAAAACUCUGGGCUCAACUCAGAGCCUGCAAGCGAAACUGUGGUGCUGGAGUAUGGGAGAGGUGCGUGGAAUUCCCGGUGUAGCGGUGAAAUGCGUAGAUAGCGGGAGGAAGAGCUGUGGCGAAAGCGGCGCACUGGACCAUAACUGACGCUGAGGCGCGAAAGCUAGGGGAGCAAAUAGU
Molecule: ribosomal RNA, 253 nt
Filed under: uncultured bacterium
Lineage: Bacteria
Description: partial 16S ribosomal RNA
Rfam family: Bacterial small subunit ribosomal RNA
Source: RNAcentral